Parus major (Great Tit) is the source of this 822-nucleotide long non-coding RNA. RefSeq lists it as uncharacterized. The record is from RefSeq and is a predicted model, not a curated record. NCBI's taxonomy places the organism in Eukaryota, Metazoa, Chordata, Aves, Passeriformes, Paridae. The transcript is spliced from 2 exons.
GUCACUUUUUAUGUUUGUGGCAUUGCUCUGUAAAAUUUGAGUUUGUUUUACAUGUACAUUUGGUAUAUUUCCACUAACUAGUCUUACAACUGAGAUACCAAAUGAACAGUAUUUACACUGACAAUUUGAACUGUUGAUCUGACACUAACAUUCUUUUUAAGCACAAAGUGGUUCAGUGUUUAACUAAUCUUGCUUUCAUCUUCUCUCUCUGCUUGUGCUGCUUUACCCCAUCAACAGCAAACAAUGAAGAAAGCUGCAACGUCCUGUAGUGGUUAUAGCAUGUCCUCCCCUUAAUUACAGGUUUAUGUGGUUUGGCAAAGCCCAUCAUCUGAACAGAUACUACGUGACUGGGGGCCUUCAGAGGAGGUCCAGAGGAGUGGAGCAAGAACAAGGUCAGGGAAACAUGAUCCAGGAAGAAACCCCAAGCAGAGGCUGAUCAACCCCUAAAAGUGAAGACUGUCAACAGAUAUAGUCACAAUGUUCCCCUGCUGAAAAUUCUGGUGCCAAAGAGUGGAGUGAUUUUAACUCCCUAAACAGAAAAAUUUGUAGAAAAAUUACUUAUAGGCUUGAGCUGCAGGAAGGUGCAAUCAGGCUGGAUGCUGCAGUUUUCUGGGGGGACAGGUAUGGGAAGAUACAACAACUAAAACAUGGCAAGGUGCUAAAGACAGCUUAGACAGAAAUAGCUUGGGAAUGCAUUUGAAUUGUUUACAAACCCUUUGACAUUUUUCUUCUAACUAGUCUUUACAUUUCCCUUACCUGUAACUCAUUGCAUUUCUUCUUACUCUAAGACUUCCAAAUAAAGGUUUAUUGUCUUCCACAAAA